Molecule: non-coding RNA, 96 nt
Organism: Acanthosepion pharaonis
Lineage: Eukaryota; Metazoa; Mollusca; Cephalopoda; Sepiida; Sepiidae
Source: the annotation of a GenBank genome assembly
UUGAAACACUGGUUUCUGUAUGAUCACUGAAGUUAAGCAAUUUUGAGCCUGGACAGUACCUGGAUGGGUGACAACUUGCAUAUACCAGGUGAUGUA